CCAACAUGGGUAUCCAGUGAGGUUGCUCUCACAUGGCUCUGCCCAAGUGGUGCAUGGGAGCUUAGCUCCAUGGGAGCAAUGAUGUAUAUUCCCAUUCCACAAUGUUGGAGAGCAAGUUUUCCCUUCCGGCUGAAAACGCUGUUGAGGGGAGGCGUCCUGUAUAUUCCUCUAACUUCUCGGUAUUUGUGGUUGCUGAGGAGACAAACCAUGCAGGACACAUCC
Anolis carolinensis (green anole) is the source of this 222-nucleotide small nucleolar RNA. Its record names the gene SNORA73. It matches the Rfam family "Small nucleolar RNA SNORA73 family". From Rfam's summary of the family: U17 (SNORA73A and SNORA73B) also known as E1 belongs to the H/ACA class of small nucleolar RNAs (snoRNAs). Vertebrate U17 is intron-encoded and ranges in length from 200-230 nucleotides, longer than most snoRNAs. The record is from Ensembl. NCBI's taxonomy places the organism in Eukaryota, Metazoa, Chordata, Lepidosauria, Squamata, Anolidae.